GAAAUGCGAUAAGUAAUGUGAAUUGCAGAAUUCAGUGAAUCAUCGAAUCUUUGAACGCACCUUGCGCUCCUUGGUAUUCCUUGGAGCAUGCCUGUUUGAGUAUCAUGAAAUCUUCAAAGUAAAUCUUUUGUUAACUCAAUUGGUUUCUACUUUGGUAUUGGAGGUCUUUGCAGCUUCACACCUGCUCCUCAUUGUUCAUUAGCUGGAUCUCAGUGUUAUGCUUGGUUCCACUCGGCGUGAUAAGUUAUCUAUCGCUGAGGACACUGUAAAAGGUGGCCAAGGUAAAUGCAGAUGAACCGCUUCUAAUAGUCCAUUGACUUGGACAAUACUUUUAUGAUCUGAUCUCAAAUCAGGUAUGACUACCCGCUGAACUUAAGC
This 378-nucleotide unclassified non-coding RNA is filed under the name plant metagenome. RNAcentral describes it as "partial contains 5.8S ribosomal RNA, internal transcribed spacer 2, and large subunit ribosomal RNA". The stretch from base 1 to 105 matches the Rfam family "5.8S ribosomal RNA", at positions 50 to 154 of the family's 154-position model. The record is from RNAcentral.